RNAcentral lists this long non-coding RNA (138 nucleotides) under Polistes fuscatus (common paper wasp). Its description in RNAcentral is "uncharacterized LOC122513479". The record is from RNAcentral. Lineage: Eukaryota; Metazoa; Arthropoda; Insecta; Hymenoptera; Vespidae.
UAAUGUUUCCGUUUCAUCGCGUGGACAAAUUUCAACUCGUUUCUGGUCAGGAGUCAUUCCAGGUCCAUCGUAUCCUAGCAAAAUUGAAGUUCAAUAUAUACUUGUGUUCGAAUGAAAUAAAAAUGACGUUUAAAAUGA